UCAGAGGGGAAUAACCCGGCGAAAGUCGGACUAAUACCGCAUAAAACAGGGGCACCGCAUGGUGAUAUUUGUUAAAGAAAUUCGCUGAUAGAUGGGCAUGCGUUCCAUUAGGUAGUUGGUGAGGUAACGGCUCACCAAGCCGACGAUGGAUAGGGGAACUGAGAGGUUGGUCCCCCACACUGGUACUGAGACACGGACCAGACUCCUACGGGAGGCAGCAGUGAGGAAUAUUGGUCAAUGGGCGGGAGCCUGAACCAGCCAAGUCGCGUGGAAAAGGAAGAAGGAUCUAUGGUUCGUAAACUUCUUUUGCAGGGGAAUAAAGUGCAGGACGUGUCCUGUUUUGUAUGUACCCUGAGAAUAAGGAUCGGCUAACUCCGUGCCAGCCGCAGC
This 390-nucleotide ribosomal RNA is filed under the name uncultured bacterium. RNAcentral describes it as "bacterial SSU rRNA". It matches the Rfam family "Bacterial small subunit ribosomal RNA", at positions 133 to 518 of the family's 1533-position model. The record is from RNAcentral.